GACACGUGGCCAAACUACCCUAUGGAUCAGAACAACCUCGGGAAACUGAGGCUAAUUCUGAAUAAAGCUCUUUGCCUGGAAUGGCUUGAGCUGGAAACGCUACGGCGCCAUAGGAUGUGGCUGCGGCCGAUUAGGUAGACGGUGAGGUAACGGCUCACCGUGCCCAUAAUCGGUACGGGUUGUGAGAGCAAGAGCCCGGAGACGGUAUCUGAGACAAGAUACCGGGCCCUACGGGGCGCAGCAGGCGCGAAAACUUUACACUGCACGACAGUGCGAUAAGGGAACUCCGAGUGCGAGGGCAUAUCGUCCUCGCUUUUCUGUACCGUAGGGAGGUACAAGAAUAAGGGCUGGGCAAGACCGGUGCCAGCCGCCGCGGUAACACCGGCAGCCCAAGUGAUGGCCGAUAUUAUUGGGCCUAAAGCGUCCGUAGCCAGCUGAACAGGUCCGUCGGGAAAUCUGCUCGCUCAACGAGCAGGCGUCCGGCGGAAACCAGUCAGCUUGGGACCAGAAGACCCGAGGGGUACGUCCGGGGUAGGAGUGAAAUCCUGUAAUCCUGGACGGACCACCGGUGGCGAAAGCGCCUCUGGAGAACGGAUCCGACAGUGAGGGACGAAAGCUAGGGUCUCGAACCGGAUUAGAUACCCGGGUAGUCCUAGCUGUAAACGAUGCUCGCUAGGUGUGGCGCAGGCUACGAGCCUGCGCUGUGCCGUAGGGAAGCCGUGAAGCGAGCCGCCUGGGAAGUACGUCUGCAAGGAUGAAACUUAAAGGAAUUGGCGGGGGAGC
This 783-nucleotide ribosomal RNA is filed under the name uncultured Halorubellus sp. Its description in RNAcentral is "bacterial SSU rRNA". It matches the Rfam family "Archaeal small subunit ribosomal RNA", at positions 95 to 877 of the family's 1478-position model. The record is from RNAcentral. Lineage: Archaea; Methanobacteriati; Methanobacteriota; Halobacteria; Halobacteriales; Halorubellaceae.